RNAcentral lists this ribosomal RNA (301 nucleotides) under uncultured bacterium. RNAcentral describes it as "partial 16S ribosomal RNA". It matches the Rfam family "Bacterial small subunit ribosomal RNA", at positions 509 to 807 of the family's 1533-position model. The record is from RNAcentral.
CAGUAGCCGCGGUAAUACGUAGGUGGCAAGCGUUGUCCGGAAUUAUUGGGCGUAAAGGGCUCGCAGGCGGUUUCUUAAGUCUGAUGUGAAAGCCCCCGGCUCAACCGGGGAGGGUCAUUGGAAACUGGGAAACUUGAGUGCAGAAGAGGAGAGUGGAAUUCCACGUGUAGCGGUGAAAUGUGUAGAGAUGUGGAGGAACACCAGUGGCGAAGGCGACUCUCUGGUCUGUAACUGACGCUGAGGAGCGAAAGCGUGGGGAGCGAACAGGAUUAGAUACCCGAGUAGUCCCUGUCUCUUAUAC